UCCGAAAACAGUUUGAACAGGGAGCUCAAAGCACUCGUUGAUGGAGUGGACACGCGCUGUGUGAGACUGAGAGCCUCGGCAGGGGGGACUGCCCACGGGUUCGGCCGGAGCAGCCGGACGGAAGGGGCUGUGGAUGACAGAGGCAGAAGCUGGCAGAGAAGCAGGUUGGAGGAGAAGAUUAGGGGCUGCACGUGGGGCCUAGUUGAGAUGCCGAUCUAGCCCUCAAGUGGAGUUGUCAACUAAGCAGCUGGAAACACGCAUCCGGAGUUCAGAGGAGAGGUCCAGACGGGAGAUCACAAGGAGGGAGAUGGCCAUGUUAAAUACAGGAACACUGAACGGCUUGAGGCCCGGGGAGCUCACAAGGAAGGACCGUGGAGAGAAAGGAAGAGGGACCUGAGGCCUGAGUCUGGAGGCGUGGUGGUGGCGUCCCAAGGCCUGGGAGGUCUUCUGUUAAGUUUCUCAGGAUCCACAUAGGAGUGAAAACAGAUGGGCGGCCGCACCAGUUUGCAUUCCCAGCAACGGUGCAAGAGGGUUCCCGUUUCUCCACAUCCUCGCCAGCAUCUGUAGUCUCCUGACUUACUCAUUUUAGCCACUGACCGGCGUGAGGUGGUAUCUCAGUGUGGUUUUGAUUGGUAUUUCCCUGACGAGGAGUGACAAUGAGCAUCUUUUCAUGUGCCCGUUGGCCAUCCGGAUGUCUUCUUUAGAGAAGUGUCUAUUCAUGUCUUCUGUGUCAAGUCGUGGUCUCACCUUUCAUGAGAUAGAGCCCAGGAACAGGCUCGGGGCAGACGGUGUGGAGCCUGCUUGGGUUUCUCUCUCCCUCUGUCUCUGCUCCUCCCCGCCCUGUGCACACAGUCUCCCUCUCUCUCUCUCUCUCUC
Long non-coding RNA from Panthera uncia (snow leopard), 876 nucleotides. RefSeq lists it as uncharacterized. NCBI's taxonomy places the organism in Eukaryota, Metazoa, Chordata, Mammalia, Carnivora, Felidae. The record is from RefSeq and is a predicted model, not a curated record. The transcript is spliced from 3 exons.